UUCAAUCUCCAUGGCUUCCUCUUUGUUCUUUCCUUGGUUUUAGAACGGACGAUGGGGUUUAGAUUCCCUCAUACAAUACUCAAAUCGUUAAGACAAGAUUAGGAGAGUAUCGAACGUAAGUUUCCUUUAUUUUCAGAUGCACUUUGAAGGGUCCGUCAGCGAGGAUUCUGAUCAAAUUUUAGCAGGGGUUUUGAAUAUGUUUUGAUGACAGCCCUUAAAGGUGCAACUUUCCAAAAACUUAUAAUUGGAUGAUGAAGAAUGAUAAGUGUCAAAAGCUCUAUCAGGUACCACUAUUGCAGAAUUUGCAUGCAUCCUAUUCAAGCGUUUGUUACUCUAUGUCAGGAUUAAUCGGAGACUAUUGAAGAGCAGCACGUAGUUAUCAGGAUAACAAGACUCAAGCCAAAUCGACCAUUUAUAUGCUCUAUUAACCAAAAAGAUUUACAAGCAUCAACCAGCUGAUGGAUAAUCACUGUAGACUAAUAGGUUUUGUCGUCAUUUUUACCACAUAAUGAUGAGGUAUUGAUUUAUAUGGUUUGAUGUAUGUACAUGUCAAGUUUGUGGUGUUCAUACAACAUAUCAAAACGAUUUGUUGAAGUUUUCUAAAAAAAUGAGAGUAUGAGUUCAUUUUUAUAUUUUAAUCUCCAAUACCUACAAAAGAUGU
This 661-nucleotide long non-coding RNA is filed under the name Helianthus annuus (common sunflower). The record is from RNAcentral. Lineage: Eukaryota; Viridiplantae; Streptophyta; Magnoliopsida; Asterales; Asteraceae.